Molecule: ribosomal RNA, 500 nt
Filed under: uncultured bacterium
Lineage: Bacteria
Description: partial 16S ribosomal RNA
Rfam family: Bacterial small subunit ribosomal RNA
Source: RNAcentral
AUUGAACGCUGGCGGCAGGCCUAACACAUGCAAGUCGAGCGGAUGAGAGGAGCUUGCUCCUCGAUUCAGCGGCGGACGGGUGAGUAAUGCCUAGGAAUCUGCCUAGUAGUGGGGGACAACGUUUCGAAAGGAACGCUAAUACCGCAUACGUCCUACGGGAGAAAGUGGGGGAUCUUCGGACCUCACGCUAUUAGAUGAGCCUAGGUCGGAUUAGCUAGUUGGUAGGGUAACGGCCUACCAAGGCGACGAUCCGUAACUGGUCUGAGAGGAUGAUCAGUCACACUGGAACUGAGACACGGUCCAGACUCCUACGGGAGGCAGCAGUGGGGAAUAUUGGACAAUGGGCGAAAGCCUGAUCCAGCCAUGCCGCGUGUGUGAAGAAGGCCCUCGGGUCGUAAAGCACUUUAAGUUGGGAGGAAGGGCUUACAGCGAAUACCUGUGAGUUUUGACGUUACCGACAGAAUAAGCACCGGCUAACUUCGUGCCAGCAGCCGCAGUAA